This 553-nucleotide ribosomal RNA is filed under the name uncultured bacterium. RNAcentral's name for it is "partial 16S ribosomal RNA". It matches the Rfam family "Bacterial small subunit ribosomal RNA", at positions 355 to 902 of the family's 1533-position model. The record is from RNAcentral.
UGGGGAAUUUUGGACAAUGGGCGAAAGCCUGAUCCAGCAAUGCCGCGUGUGUGAAGAAGGCCUUCGGGUUGUAAAGCACUUUUGUCCGGAAAGAAAUCCUUGGCUCUAAUACAGUCGGGGGAUGACGGUACCGGAAGAAUAAGCACCGGCUAACUACGUGCCAGCAGCCGCGGUAAUACGUAGGGUGCAAGCGUUAAUCGGAAUUACUGGGCGUAAAGCGUGCGCAGGCGGUUUGCUAAGACCGAUGUGAAAUCCCCGGGCUCAACCUGGGAACUGCAUUGGUGACUGGCAGGCUAGAGUAUGGCAGAGGGGGGUAGAAUUCCACGUGUAGCAGUGAAAUGCGUAGAGAUGUGGAGGAAUACCGAUGGCGAAGGCAGCCCCUGGGCCAAUACUGACGCUCAUGCACGAAAGCGUGGGGAGCAAACAGGAUUAGAUACCCUGGUAGUCCACGCCCUAAACGAUGUCAACUAGUUGUUGGGGAUUCAUUUCCUUAGUAACGUAGCUAACGCGUGAAGUUGACCGCCUGGGGAGUACGGUCGCAAGAUUAAAACUC